Molecule: ribosomal RNA, 492 nt
Filed under: uncultured bacterium
Lineage: Bacteria
Description: partial 16S ribosomal RNA
Rfam family: Bacterial small subunit ribosomal RNA
Source: RNAcentral
AGUGAACGCUGGCGGUAGGCCUAACACAUGCAAGUCGAACGGCAGCACAGUAAGAGCUUGCUCUUACGGGUGGCGAGUGGCGGACGGGUGAGGAAUACAUCGGAAUCUACUUUUUCGUGGGGGAUAACGUAGGGAAACUUACGCUAAUACCGCAUACGACCUACGGGUGAAAGCAGGGGAUCUUCGGACCUUGCGCGAUUGAAUGAGCCGAUGUCGGAUUAGCUAGUUGGCGGGGUAAAGGCCCACCAAGGCGACGAUCCGUAGCUGGUCUGAGAGGAUGAUCAGCCACACUGGAACUGAGACACGGUCCAGACUCCUACGGGAGGCAGCAGUGGGGAAUAUUGGACAAUGGGCGCAAGCCUGAUCCAGCCAUACCGCGUGGGUGAAGAAGGCCUUCGGGUUGUAAAGCCCUUUUGUUUGGAAAGAAGAGCAGCAGGUUAAUACCCCGCUGUUCUGACGUUACCCAAAGAAUAAGCACCGGCUAACUUCGUG